This is a long non-coding RNA of Rattus rattus (black rat), 1806 nucleotides long. RefSeq lists it as uncharacterized. The record is from RefSeq and is a predicted model, not a curated record. The transcript has 2 exons. Lineage: Eukaryota; Metazoa; Chordata; Mammalia; Rodentia; Muridae.
CUCAGAAAGUUAAGUGAUUUCCCUGCAGUUUGAACUUCUUAGACUGUAAACAAUGCCUGUUGACUCCACAACUUCUAUGCACGAAUGUUUUGCCUAACUCUUCUGUAUAAGUUCAGACCAAUCUACAAAUACCCCGGAUACAAAUUAUCAAUGGGGAGUUUGGGAAUAUCAAGUUAAUUCUAAGAUAGUGGGUUCAUCUGAGCCAAAGGGAGAAUACAAGUCUCAGGCUGUCACCUAGAAUCUGCUAAAAAGCCCUUUCUCUGGUAUCAAUAAACUGUCGUUACAUCGUCUAGGAUUUACAGGCAAAGCUCCAGAGACAUUCUAAUUUGAAUCAUCUCUGCCUUGUCAUCACGGUCGUGGUCUGCACUGUCUCUAAGUCUGAAUCUCAGAGCUAGGAAAGUUUUUCCUUAGCUUACCUGCAAGGCAUUCACAGUACAAAGCAUUCAAUGAUGCCUUCUGCAAUCAAGGGGCUAACUGGUAACCACCUCAACCUCGCGUGUGCGCUGGAGAAACUCCAGAGAACUGAAGAACACAUUCUUGCUCUGAGCCAUGAAUACGUUAUACCAGGCUAGAUGGAGCAUGCCAGGUUCACCCUCAACCUGUCUUAUGUCUGUGUGUCCGUGCCCUAUCUCUAAAGCAAACAUGGCAUGACUUGCAGUACAAUGUGUGUAAGGCACACAAGGCUAAAUAAAAGACGUAGAAAAAUAAGUCUAAAUAAGAGACAAGAAAAAGACGUACGAUCCUACAGAGGUAACAUGAGAAACAUUGUAAAAUGAAAUGCUAGACUGUGUACUUGGUCUUUAAAAAACAGUCCCUAGUGUUGAUUAAGGCUGGAAGGAGAGGGGAAGUACUUGUCUCAGAUAGAAUUUGGAGAAGAGGGGUUAGGGCUCAGUGGUAGAUCCCUUCCGUAGCAGAUAGGAAAGCCUAGAUUCUAUUUCCAGCACUGCGAACCACAAAGCAAACAAAUGGACAAAGAAUUGGAGAAGAUGCAAAUGGGAAGAACGUCGCUUGGUGUUUCGCGUUACGUCUUGAGCAAUCUGCAAAUUCUUGUGGUGAACAAGAGUAACAGCUCUAAAGUGGUCAGGAAACCUGGACAUAACUUCUGAGCCAUAUAUUUGGAACCGUGCCUCUAUUGUCUGGGCCUGCGACUCUGACGUCUACUAAAUAUGAGGAAUUAUGAAGUGAUUGUUAAAUAUUUAAACAGCUAAGGGAAACAGGAAGUAAUGAGAAACAAAACACCCUACAGAUCUGAGUCACAGGAGAUCCACUGUGGCAGGCCCUGUCAACCUCAGCUCCAGCCAUUGUUUUAUGUGUAUAUAUGCCCAGAGAAGAAGCUGUCUGUCUAAAGGUCCCAACUGCCAGCCAUUUAAACUGGGAAGAACAGAAACACAGUUGGAGAACCUCACUCUUCCACUUAGCUCUGAUCAGAAAUUGUUUUUUGCCAGGACUGAGAGGCCACUAGAAUAUCUGUAUCUAAAUGGAACUAUUGUUUUUUGCUGGUUACUCUUUAGGUUUUAAUUUUCCACUGUUAUGUGGAUGAUAUGUAAAGUUAAGAUGUAUGAUCGUGUUUUUGGAAGGAUGAGGCAGGGGAUUGUGAGUUUGAGACUAGCUGGAACUAGUUUACAUCUCGUUUGUUGAGACAUGGGUUCAAUCUGUAGCCUAGAUUGUCCUAGAACUUUCUGUGUAGUCCAGGCUGCUUUGAACUUAUGGAUAUCCUCUUACCUUAGCUUCUAGAAUGCUGAGAUCAUACAUGUGAGCCGUUAUGCUCUAUGUAUAUGUAUUUCUCAAUAUAUAUAUAUAUGUAUA